AUGCCUAUGCCCUCGUCUCCUCGCCGCUCGCUCCACUGCUCUCCUACACCUCCGCCUCCCCUUCUCCCUUCUCUUCGCAUCCGUCCUCCCCUCGACACCCUCGCCUCCGACCUCUCUUGCAGCACCCCAACUCCACUCUCGGGCCAAGCCGAGUCACCUCCAGGCCAGCAUCUGCUCCAUCCCGUUCUUCUCCAUCCGAGCAGCGGCAAGCUCGCAGAUCUGGUGCCCCUAGAGUGGAAGAAACAAGGAGUAGGCGCCACAAGAUGGAGGAGGAGAUGGGGCCCUGGGAGAGUGGCGGCGGCAGCCCCUCUGCCUAUGACCGAGCCCGGGGACAAAAAUGGAGGUGGUGGCAGGGAGCAUGCGAGCAACAACGAUGACUGGACGCCAGGAGCUGGAAGAGGUGGUCCAUGCCGAGGAAGAUGGCAUUGUGUGAUAAUUCAGGCAUUCUUCCUUCUUAGUAUGAACGGAUAG
Molecule: ribosomal RNA, 471 nt
Filed under: Triticum aestivum (bread wheat)
Lineage: Eukaryota; Viridiplantae; Streptophyta; Magnoliopsida; Poales; Poaceae
Description: partial small subunit ribosomal RNA
Source: RNAcentral